This 270-nucleotide non-coding RNA is filed under the name Clostridium acetobutylicum. Its description in RNAcentral is "T-box sequence". It matches the Rfam family "T-box leader". From Rfam's summary of the family: Uncharged tRNA acts as the effector for transcription antitermination of genes in the T-box leader family. T-boxes are found upstream of many aminoacyl-tRNA synthetase genes and some amino acid biosynthetic genes usually in Gram-positive bacteria. The record is from RNAcentral. Lineage: Bacteria; Bacillati; Bacillota; Clostridia; Eubacteriales; Clostridiaceae.
UUAAAUACUGUGAUAAGAAAUAGUAGCAUAAAUAAAACUUAACAGAGAGAUCUCCCUGGCUGAAAGAGAUUAAGAUUAAGUUUAUGCGAAUGCAUCUUGGAGUACUGCCUCGAAAUGUGAAAUUAAUAUAUACUAAAAUUUUUAUAGUAGACGGCAGCGGGUACGCCCGAUUAAAGCGUUAUGGUAUGUUAGUACCUAAGUUAUGAGUUGUCAUAUUAGUUUUUAUGUGAUAAUUAGAGUGGAACCGCGGAGUAAACUUCUGCCUCUAUA